RNAcentral lists this long non-coding RNA (1567 nucleotides) under Mytilus galloprovincialis (Mediterranean mussel). The record is from RNAcentral. Lineage: Eukaryota; Metazoa; Mollusca; Bivalvia; Mytilida; Mytilidae.
CUGGCCUCAACCGUCUGUAUGACAUAUAUAUCUUAUAUCUGUAUAUAUAAUACUAUAUUGCACGUUAGGCUUAAUAAACCUUGAAUGUACAUGAUGUAUUUUCACAUGAGGAAUUGAACAUUAAUAGUAUCACUUUCGAGCCGCCAGCACACACUCAAUGAGUUUGAUUCGAAAUACAUACAUGUAUGAAUGAAAUAAAAUAUAACAAUACAUGAACAUGAUUAAAAUAUUGAUAACUCACAGGUCUAUUAAUACAUUAAAAUGUAUACACAUACUUGUAGAAUUUCGAGCAGGCAAAUCCUGACCUCAAAGUCAAUACCAUUUCUUAACAAUAUACUACUUUUAAUGGUUUAUUUAGACAAUAACUGAUCAUGAAAAAUAAUCAAAAUGGCGACUAGGCAUAUCCUAACAUCACCUUCUGACUUAAUAUUUGACUAGUGAACAUCAGCCAUUACAUGCGAAUAGAUUCAAUUCUAAUAUAUCUUUGCAAAGCAUUUGAAUUCCAGCGACCCAACUUUUGAAUUAAUUGCUCAGAAUAGCCUAGGCUGGCAGCAUUAGUUGCUGCACCUAUACGAAAGCUGUGUCCCUUGUAUUGAGUAGGAUUUAAACCUAUAAAAGUAAUUAACUUUUUCAUCUGUUCUGCCACAAAGUGUGCAGAUACAUAUUGCCCAUUGGUAUGUUGAAAUAAUGGGCCCGUAUUAUGCUUGAAAGUGUUCACAAAAGCAUAUAAUGUAUUCACAGGACAAAUUCUAGGGGAGCUUGGCAAUGCUGACAAGAAAAUUGUUACUGGUUUGUUAGUUUUGUUAUUUUUAAAAAACCUUAGUGUUAAUUCAACACCCUUUAAUAUGCCCUUUUCCCAAGUAAACAAAAUAUCUUGACGCUGAAGUACUCUCCCUAUAGACUGUUUUGAUCUUACAACAAGCUCUCCAAGCCUAAAAAAGCCAUUAAAUGCUACCAAAAUAUAGUUUUUAGUAAAAGUUGAUGAACAUGGAGUCUGACUACUGAUGGUAAGUUUAUGAUCAUCUUGUCAAGGAUUGCUUUUUGUAAUUGGUAGUCUUGCAUCUGCAGAUGGGGUUAGAUUUUCACAACCUUUCAAAGCUUUGCGAAUAAUGAAUAAAGCUGUAGGGUCCUGAAUGUUUAACAUUUUAUGUACAUAACUUAAAGCAGAAAAUAUGUGAUGCUAUUGUAGCAGGUUUUAAACCUUUAGUGAACAAAUUGCCUAUAAAGUUAGCAACUUGAGCUAGCUGAAGCGGCAGAGAGAUCUGUUGGUGACCAGGAAUUCAAUUAACUUUUGCCAUGUUUUUUGGUAUGAAGCUUUGGUAGAGGGUGUCAAGGCUGAAUUUAUUAAAUGUUUGGCUUCAUCAGUCAAAUCUCCAACAAAUGUUGGGGAACAAGUAUUGGACUUUGUUCCAACCAUGGUGCUGCCUUCAGUGCUUUCUGAAAUUGUAAACGUGAAAGGCUAUCAGCUAUAAUAUUUGUUUUACCCGGAAUGUGUUUAGCUUUGAAUAGAAUGUUGUAUUUUAAGGCAACAGCAACCAGACGCCGAACUAGUUUCAUUAAGAUUAUG